Dermochelys coriacea (leatherback sea turtle) is the source of this 3464-nucleotide RNA transcript. It is a transcript of the gene named phorbol-12-myristate-13-acetate-induced protein 1, with no coding region annotated. The transcript is spliced from 3 exons. The record is from RefSeq and is a predicted model, not a curated record. NCBI's taxonomy places the organism in Eukaryota, Metazoa, Chordata, Testudines, Dermochelyidae.
GGCGAGAGGAGAGCGUCGCUCGGCCCCGUGCCGCUGCCCGCCCCCCGCCUGCUCUGAUCUCCCCGCGGCGGCGGGCGACGCGAAAUGAUGCCGGGGAAGACCCUGCGCAAGGGUGCGCCGCAGAGCCCCGCUCCCGCAGCACAGGAAGCUGUGACCCAGUGCUCUUUGCAACUACGCAAAAUAGGAGACAUAUGCAACCUGCAGCAGAAGAUUCUUAAUGUUAUUACAAAACUGUUCUGCCCAGGAACGUGAAAACUCUUUGGGAGAUGUCAAACAGAAGAGGAAGGAAGGAAAUAAUGGUUUUGGAAAAUAUGGUCUUUACAAGCUUGUAAUAAGUAACUUGAACAAGAUGAGAAGUUGGAAUGAGCUGAAUUCAUUACUUACUGCUGCCUGUUCCCAUUGAAGGAAGGCUGUUGAAAUAGGAUUUCUCUGGAGAGCCGGACAUAUGUAUUGGCUGGUGGAUGUCAGUAUGGGGGAAAAAUUACAAUUAACCAUUCCAAAGAUUGACCUGUGAAGUGACUUGGAAGAGCAAGGAACCUUCUCAUCUGACAAGGGUAUCAAUGUUCUGGUUCAGGAGUUGCAUCUAGUUCUAUGUCACUUUGAGCAACAGGCAGAAGAUACCGGUUACCUCCAAACACUGGAUUGGAAUGUACAAUGAAAACCAGUUUCUAAGUUCUUGAUUGUUUUUGUUUUCUAAAACGUAGACUCUAUUGUACAAACCUGGUGUGGAGCCUAAUCUUAUUUUUGUUUGUUUGUUUUGAUUGUAGCACAUGUACAAGUGAUGUUACUGGUUACGCAGAUGUUUCUCUAAGGAAUAACACUGUAAUUCUGUUAAUUAUGAGGUUGCUGUAUGGAUCUAAGAUGUAUAUAUGUGUAUGAAAAGAGUAUUUCAUGGAACUUAAAGAGAUGACUUAUGGCUUAUGCACCAGAAAUAGUGCAGAUGACUAUUCAAAGGGUGCCAUAAAGACUGCAUUAAAACAGAUUAAAGGAAGCACAGUAGUUUAUGGUGAUUAAGAAAGUCCUUCAUGCAGUCAGUACUCUAAGAAAAUUAUUCAAUAAGAAAAAUGCAUACAUUAAAGCAUAUCUUACAUAGCAAAGUAAGAUGAUUGGCAGGUAUAUGAGUUUGGGGGAGAUUCCUUCACAGCAUCAGAAGGAAUAUUCAAACAGAAUAAGCUACUGUUGGGAGGUAAUAAAAUUACUCUAAAAACAAAUCGAAAGUUAAACUGAAAUGGAAUCAGUGGUUUUCUGGAGAAAAAACUUGAAUUAUUUUUCAAAGAAAAUAACUGCUCAGAUUAAGAGAGAUGUCAAUAAAACUGAAUGUUACAGUUGUUACAGGAAAGUAAUGUAUUGCUUCUAAAUGAAAGCUGAGACCUUGACUGGAAAUAAAGGAUAAGAAAAAAAACUCAGCUCUUAUUUGGUGUCAACCUCAUUUUUGUUUGUAAUGAUGAAGAUGCUGUUAUUUUGUCUAAUGAUGUGAUAUGUUAGUGAGAUGAUUGUUGCAUCCUUAUUGAAAAGCAACAUUGCCCUGGCUUGGAGGAGAGACUUGUUCUGCACUUCAGUCCAUUAGAAAGCAACUUUUCUGUUUGUAUAUUUUAAAAGCCCCAAGAAUCAACUGCAAGAGAUGGUGCAACUACCAUGUCUAAGCCAAAUUAAUCAGUGUCUUAAACGAUGGGCUAAAUUAUACAUAGGAUGUCAACUAGUAGGAAAAUGGAUGUAAGUGACGAAAUAAUGUAACUUGCUUAGGUUUGGUAUUCAGAGGGUGUGCAAAAUAAGUAUCAGUGUCAGGCUGAAGGAAGAUGUAGCAAAAAAAGUAACUUGAAUUCACACACUCUUGCUUCUACUACACUUUCCUCUUGCAUGUAAAUUACAUCUGUCUUAUAUACCUUCUGAAUGCCAGAUCAGUGCAAGUUAAACCAUUUCACUGCUUGCAUCCAUUUUGGGCUCCCUUGUCCUUCGUGUGCAAUUCAUUCCACGCUAAGACACCAAUGAAUUUGUGCCAGGGGUUCCCAAACUUGGGUUUGCCGCUUGUUCAGGGUAAGCCCCUGGUGGGCCGUGAGACAUUUUGUUUACCCGAGUGUCCACAGGUACAGCCACUCACAGCUCCCGGUGGCUGCCAGAGGCGCGGGCCAGGCCACCGCUUCCCACAGCUCCCAUUAGCUGGGUACAGCAAACCAUGGCCACUGGGAGCUGCAAGUGGCUGUACCUGCGGUCACUCAGGUAAACAAAGCAUCUCGCAGCCCGCCAGGCGCUUACCCUGAACAAACCGCCAACCAAGUUUGGGAACCCUUAUUUGAGCCUAUGAUCUUGGAUAAAUCUGCUUUCUUUCAUGAGGUUUUCAUUGUAAAGCUCUUUUUAAUAUCCCAGGACCAAGUAUCCAGUGAUCUGAUUUGCUGACACUGAUUUCAUUUGGUAUAAUCUCAGCUGCUGGGUUUGUUUGUUUUUCUGAUGUAUAAGAGGCACAUUCCCAGUAAAGGAACUUUUGCAUUGGCUUGAAUGAGAGCAGGAGCAGGCCCAACUAUAGCAAGGUUUCCUUUUCCUAUGGGCCAUCAGAUAUUGUGUUCUCAGUGAGAACGUAGCAUUUCAGGAUGGUGUUGUUUUAUCCACAGUGCCACAAGCUAAUGUGACAAACAUGAACUUGUCUCCCUAAAGGUACAGAGUCCUAUCUCAUUCAGAAGCACCUUUUCAGGUAUUAAAGGGUGACUGUUGUUUUCAUUUCUGUUAUGUCAAAUUUUAGCUCCAUGAAUAACUCCAUGAGACUAAGCAAAGCUGUUCAUUCACGGUUUGAUCUAACAGCCACUGAAUUCAAUGGAAAGACUCCCACUGGUAUCCAUGGAGUUUGAUCACAGUCUUAGGUAAAACUCUAGUGAGUUAUGUCAGACUAAGAAUCUCAAGAAAAUGUAGUAUUAAGGAACUGUGGUGUUGCUAAAAUACACUCAAAUUAAGGUGUUCAGCUCAAUGGGGGCAGCCUUACAGUUAAUUAGGAUGCUAGCCAAGGUUUCAAAUGGCCUGUCAGUAAUUCUAGGCUGUAAACAGCAAAAAUACUAGCAUAAAGCUAUGGGAAUGAACUAUGUAAAUGUCACAGGGACAUUUCAGCUAGGAAUUGCAGCACUUUAUUGUAUAGAUGUCUAAUGGCAAUGUUUAUUUUUCAUGGAAUGUUUUUAUGUUGCUAAAUUCUAUAGUGUGUUUAUUUGGUGAUAGUUUAAUGUGACGUCAAUCAAACUGUUUACAGUGAAUUCAAAAGCAGAUUUAGUUCAAAGUGAUUAAUAUCUGUAUCAGUUUGAUCAUGUGAUCUGUGGGUAGCGUUUCCUUGCAUUACUUUUCAAAAUGAUGUGCCAUAUGACUGUAUCAACAUGAGAUUGUUUUUCUCAAGGCAUUUUUUUGGGGUUAGGGACAGAUGUUUUGUUAUAUAUCCCAAUAAAGUGUGUCUGUUGUUAUCUUGUUAAGAUAAUAAACAUGAUGUGUUU